Molecule: ribosomal RNA, 443 nt
Filed under: uncultured bacterium
Lineage: Bacteria
Description: partial 16S ribosomal RNA
Rfam family: Bacterial small subunit ribosomal RNA
Source: RNAcentral
CCUACGGGGGGCAGCAGUGGGGAAUAUUGGGCAAUGGGCGCAAGCCUGACCCAGCAACGCCGCGUGAAGGAAGAAGGCUUUCGGGUUGUAAACUUCUUUUCUCAGGGACGAAGCAAGUGACGGUACCUGAGGAAUAAGCCACGGCUAACUACGUGCCAGCAGCCGCGGUGAUACGUAGGGCGCACGCGUUAUCCGGAUUUAAUGGGUGUAAAGGGCGUGUAGGCGGGACGGCAAGUCAGAUGUGAAAGCCAUGGGCUCAACCUGUGGCCUGCAUUUGAAACUGUUAUUCUUGAGUACUGGGGAGGCAGACGGAAUUCCUGGUGUAGCGGUGAAAUGCGUAGAUAUUAGGAGGAACACCAGUGGCGAAGGCGGUCUGCUGGACAGCAACUGACGCUGAGGCGCGAAAGCGUGGGGAGCAAACAGGAUUAGAUACCCGUGUAGUC